GGCGACGUAGCUCAGGUGGUUAGAGCGAAGGUCUCAUAAUCCUUAGGUCAGUGGUUCGAGUCCACUCGUCGCUACCA
Molecule: transfer RNA, 77 nt
Filed under: candidate division BRC1 bacterium HGW-BRC1-1
Lineage: Bacteria; Candidatus Sumerlaeota
Also listed under: 1 other name
Description: tRNA-Met
Rfam family: tRNA
About the family: Transfer RNA (tRNA) molecules are approximately 80 nucleotides in length.
Source: RNAcentral